Molecule: ribosomal RNA, 434 nt
Filed under: Penaeus schmitti (white shrimp)
Lineage: Eukaryota; Metazoa; Arthropoda; Malacostraca; Decapoda; Penaeidae
Description: partial 16S ribosomal RNA
Rfam family: Bacterial large subunit ribosomal RNA
Source: RNAcentral
UUUAAAGGGCCGCGGUAUAUUGACCGUGCGAAGGUAGCAUAAUCAUUAGUCUUUUAAUUGAAGGCUUGUAUGAAUGGUUGGACAAAAAGCGGACUGUCUCAAUUGCAUUUAUUGAAUUUAACUUUUAAGUGAAAAGGCUUAAAUAAAUUAAGGGGACGAUAAGACCCUAUAAAGCUUUACAAUAAAUUACUUAUAUUAUAAACUGUUAGUAUAACUUGAUUUUAGGUAAUAUUUGUUGCGUUGGGGCGACGAGAAUAUAACGAGUAACUGUUCUUAGUUAAUUAAUAACAUAGAUAUAUGGAAGAUGAAUGAUCCUCUUUUAGAGAUCAUAAGAUUAAGUUACUUUAGGGAUAACAGCGUAAUGUUCUUUGAGAGUCCAUAUCGACAAGAAGGAUUGCGACCUCGAUGUUGAAUUAAGGUUUCCUUAUAAUGCA